UACGAAGGGGGCUAGCGUUGCUCGGAAUCACUGGGCGUAAAGGGUGCGUAGGCGGGUCUUUAAGUCAGGGGUGAGAUCCUGGAGCUCAACUCCAGAACUGCCUUUGAUACUGAAGAUCUUGAGUUCGGGAGAGGUGAGUGGAACUGCGAGUGUAGAGGUGAAAUUCGUAGAUAUUCGCAAGAACACCAGUGGCGAAGGCGGCUCUCUGGGACGGUACUGACGCUGAGACGCGAAAGCGUGGGGAGCGAACAGG
RNAcentral lists this ribosomal RNA (253 nucleotides) under uncultured bacterium. RNAcentral describes it as "partial 16S ribosomal RNA". It matches the Rfam family "Bacterial small subunit ribosomal RNA", at positions 524 to 776 of the family's 1533-position model. The record is from RNAcentral.